Molecule: transfer RNA, 130 nt
Filed under: Enterobacter kobei
Lineage: Bacteria; Pseudomonadati; Pseudomonadota; Gammaproteobacteria; Enterobacterales; Enterobacteriaceae
Description: tRNA-OTHER
Source: RNAcentral
UGUGGAUGUAGCUCAAUUGGAUAGAGCGCCUCUUGUGUGGGGAGUUGAGCGCUACUCAAGGAUCAUAACCUGGAGUAUCUCAUGCGGCUGGCCAGACGCUAUCUGGGUUCGAGUCCCAGCGCCACAACCA